UAGUAGGUUACUUUUCAGGUUAAUUUUUUUUUUUAAUUUUUAACUGAUUAUUAAAUCUGGUUUAACAUUAUCUAAUUUAGUUUCACCAAAAAACAAAAAAAAACCACCACCACCUUCUUACGAUUCUUACUGGAGAGAGGAGAGGAGGAGGAGAAAGUGGCGGCCCCGGCGGUAGGAGGAGAGGCUGCGGUGGCACUUGGAGCGAGGCUCUGGUCUGAGGACCUUGCACUAGUCCUUCCUCCACCACUCCCUUCGUUCUUCUCUAUCAUUGUCAUCAUCGAAGCUUCGAAGCUCUACCUUCCGUCACAAAAGCCACCUCCUUCCGCCUAUCAUCAUCGAAGCUCUACCUUCCGUCACAAAAGCCACCACCUUUCUUCUUCAGAUUUGGGUUCUUAAUAACAAAGUCACCACCUUUCUUUCUUUGAUUAUGUUGUUGAGGGAGGAGGAGGGUUUUGCAGUGGAACAGGUGGAGAGAAAGUGGUCGGCGAUGGCUUCAAUGAGUUCUUCUCCGAUUUUCCUCUCUCUCUCUCUCUAACUAAGUCUUUCUCUGAUUCUGUUGUUGAGGGAGGAGGUAUUGGGGUUGGGACUUAUCUGGGUUCGUUCUACUCUUGAGGGAGGAGAAGAAUUUCUGGUCUUUAUCACAG
Molecule: long non-coding RNA, 644 nt
Filed under: Lotus japonicus
Lineage: Eukaryota; Viridiplantae; Streptophyta; Magnoliopsida; Fabales; Fabaceae
Description: long non-coding RNA (LJAP_LNC000362)
Source: RNAcentral